Molecule: unclassified non-coding RNA, 3242 nt
Filed under: Leishmania donovani
Lineage: Eukaryota; Euglenozoa; Kinetoplastea; Trypanosomatida; Trypanosomatidae
Description: gene:unknown
Source: RNAcentral
CUCUCAAGAGUAGUAUUCUCGUUUUUGCUCAAGUGUAUAUGAGCAAGAAAACCAGGAGUGGAAACGGGUAGCGGUGCAGCUGUGGCACUUGCAAAUUUUACUUUUCUUGGCUGUCAGUCCCCGAUAUUUCACGGGCAGUGCGCAGAUGAAUGCAAUAAGGAGGCAACAUCCUGCACUAAUGCAAGAGCAGAGUUGUAUCUAUGCAAAUAUGUAUAUUUAGGAAGGCAUAUUUUUCAGGCUUAUUACCUUUGUGAGGCAGAGAGCAAAGCUGAAAGUUUCAACGCAAAUGAGAACCUGCAUUUUAUCGGUACUGAGCGUCAUUUUUUCCGAGUUCUUUUUUGCUUUGCUCACAACGCUGCGACGAGAAACUCCCUUCAUUGCGAUAUCCACCUCUUCGUGAAAUGACGACCAGAGGAUAGUACCGAUCGAUGCCUUCGAACUCAAGGGCCGAUGCUGCAUACGGCUGCCCUUGCACAGAUUCCGCAGCGCCAGCUUGCCCAUCCGAGCAUGGGCUGUGCCUCGAACUCUGCCUACCUUCCCCACUGAGCAGGUUGCCACCCUUGAUGCAUCGGUCGAGGUUGCUUAAACUUUCCACAACCAGGAGGCAGUGAUAACCGGGUCGGAUGCGUCUGAGUCACGCUAGCACCCUACCUACUCAUAGGGAUGGCACAAGCGUGGUGACUGACGCAGGUCGCUCCGACCCCACUACAUCCAGGACCUCACCGCCGGCACCAGCAGCGAUGCAUCUCUCUGGCGUGCCCGCGUCGUAGGCGCCCGACCCUGACACCACUAUAAGAGGUUCUGAAUUGCCACGGGUAGGAGGUUCGCUAGCUAACCCACUGAAUGGGUUCUGGAGCGAGAUACCGCGCGUCGAGGUGUCCCUCUUCGUCAAGGUUGCAAGUGAGAAGACUUGUAUAAAUGCCUUUUCUGGCGAGGUUCUUAAUACUGUUCACCCACAUAGUCCGCGACAUUGGCGGGCGCCGCAGUACGCUGCAUUUGCUUGUAUUCAUCUAGACGCUAUGUAUUGCACUGUUAGGCGUUUGAAAGCAACUGACCGUGUCGCUUUAGCCAGUGCAGACAAUAUGCUCCCCCCCCCCGGUGCUCCAAGAGCAACCUUACGGACGGCACCCCUCUAAAUCACUUCUCUUCUUUUUGUGAAGGGACCUGGGCCGAAUCCGCUCUUCAAGGUUGACGGCUUCUUUAAGCAUUCAAGAAUCAAAUACUGAACGGCCCAAGCACGCUUGUCCCACCCGUGAUGAUAAACGAACGUGGAAAGCCUCACACUGUUUGCGCACCCAGCAGGUUGUCAAUUUGCACAUGCGAUAGUGAGGCUACUCGCCUCUUCUUGAUUGCAACUUCCGUGCAGCGCCCAUUUUUACUCGACAAAGUACUGAGAAGAAUGAAACUAGCCUGCGAGACUGCCCGCACAUUAUUAAACUCUGUCAGCUUCAGAGUAAAAGUUGAGCUUGCGUAUGAAAGGACGUUGGCAACCAUUGGCUUUCUAGAUGUCAAACAGAGGUAGGCGGUCGGGCAACAGUGCCUCACGCACCCAGUGGCAGUUAGGUUUUGUUACAUCAAGUAAACCCACCACUGCUGUUUACCCAAGACACGAAUUCUGGCACACAUUUCUUCACCACAUGGUAAGUGGGACACAUUUUUCAGGUUACUCUCCACUGCAAAUGGAAACCGAGUUUGCUCCUCUUAGCCCGCAUCUUUUGCGAGCGUUUUUUUUUUUUGCAGUCGCUGCUGCUGUUCACUUUUUCCUUGGUUCCCUUUCGCCAGCCCUCAAAGAGGGCAACCGUGCUGAAGGAAGCUCUAACGGUUGCCAUGAGCCAUACCUGCGCCUGCGGUUUUAACCGCUACAGUACUUCAUACUUGCCGUAUCUUGCUAACCUAUUAGUGAUGCUGGUCUUUCUUCCAGUAAAUGACUUCUGGCGCCGAAAGAAUGAAAAGCGGUGGUCAGCUGUUAGCUAUUCUUGCCGCUACGGUAUACGGUGCCCCAAUAUGGUGAUGCUGCACUUUCUUUUUCCUGUUAUCAACCUGUGCCCUUCGGGCAUCACCUUUGAUCCCUAAUCUUCGCUAGCCAUGCUCUGCAAAGGUGUAUAUAACCGUGCACAUGGAAAGAGUAACACUUGGUCGCCGCUCUUAUACCUCUCAGCGUUUGCAAAGCGUCUAAUGCGCUGCUUCUAGGAGGCUGUUUUCUGAGUCAAGAUGAUCAACGUGUGCACAUAGCAAGAAGCACCCUCGGACUAGUAUCCUUUCUCUCACCGCUUAGUUUAUCUCUGAUUAGGUUGCGUUUUGCUUUAGCGUAAAUUAGCAGACCAAGUACUGGGGCUAUAAAUCCCGCAAUGACAUUUUGGAGCAGAAUCACAAGGUCUGUUAAUGGCGUUAACUCAAGUAUACGAAUUGCAAGACACCAGGGCAGCUUCUCGAAGUGCAAGAUCGGCGACUCUUGGACUUCAGCGUCACUCCUUUUUGGUUACUGUAAACUGUGAAGACGUGAGAGAAAGCUUGAGGGGCGAAUCACUCGAUUUCCCACGUGAUUUGAAAUUUGCUGCGGUGAAACGCACGGAUGCUCUCCUGUGAUUAGUACUAAAAUCGGGAGUAUGCGUGCUAACUCUCUUUUCGAAGAUGUGGGUCGGUUUUUCCUUUUCGGGUGUUAAGGGCAACUGGCUCACAUUCUGGAGCGAUUCACCGAAUGCUCCAUUCGACUUUAUUCGAGACUCCUAAAUAAGUCUUUUUGCUGAUUUGGUUGUGAUGAUUUUUCAUCUCUACGUCUGCUUGCGUUGGCAGUGACAACGCACUACUUUGCCCGCCUAACACAGUUUAAGUGAAUCUACACGAGAGGCUAGCGUCUCAAGCUCCAUCUAAGUUUCCCUUUAUUCUCUCUGCGAAGACAGUGCUGACGCCUACGUGGAUGCGCACUUGUUUAGCCUAAGCCUCAGAAACUACCUCGACACCUUUCUUACCUUUGCAAAUGUUUCUCUUUAAAUGUCUUGCAUGUUUUCGAGUCUGAAUCUCUACUUUGUUUUUGAGCAUUCUCUCUGCGCAACGGAAAGAGUGUUUCUGCGUUGUAUGCCGGAAACGAUUCCGUACCUCAAAAGGCACGCACGGGAGUAUUUUUUUGUCCUUUCUUAUUGCACUCGCACUUUGAGUGAGAAUAAAAGCCUUGAAUUUUACUGAAGCGAAGACGCAACAAAAACAAGAGAUGAUAACAAUUUACACUAUUUGCGUGCACUUUG